UUUAUCCGGCCCCUGAUAUCAUUAUAAUGUUUUGCAACUUCACAUGAAAUAGGCCUAUGACAUAUUUUGCAGGCCUAAAGGAAUCUUAGAAAUUACAUUUCCAAUGCAAUUAAGUUAUAUUCAGGGGACCUAGAAAAGGUGGGGACUGUUUUAAAGGUGUCUACCUUUAAAGAUGUCUAUAUGUCUAUAUAGGCCUAAAGGUGUCUAUAUAGGCCUAAAUUUUAUGGGGAAAUCCUGAUUUGUGUUCAUAGUACGGCCCCCGGAGGAUUUUAUGACCAUGGUAGGAAUUUGAAGUGGCCCCUCGAAUGAAAAAGGUUCCCCACCCCUGCAUAAACCUUUCUACUAGCCACAGCUUUGCUGUCAGUACAUUUUAUUAUGAUACUAUAAGCUCAGAAAUUAAGUUGAUCAAACAAUUCGAUCUGUGCUAUAAACAUUUAAAUGAACCUACAGAAUAGGCUAUCAAAAUAGAAUCAUCUGAAUGAUCUUUCUUGGACAUAGGCCUACAUUUUGAAGUGACCCUUCGAAUUAAAAAGGUUCCUCUGCUGCUUUUGAGGAAAAACAUCAAUGUGCUUGGCCACUCUGGUUUUUUAAAAAUGGUAUUCUGAACUAAAGCAAGGAUUGUUCAAGUUAGUUGAAAAUAGACCGUCUCUGGUUAAAUUAGUUCUACACCAAGCCUUUAGGUGGCAGUAAAACUAAUUGGCACAAUGCGAAUUCCACACACAAGCCACAAAGAAGCCAUCAGCCGCGGUCAACAUCACCUUCCUGAUUGAACAGAACCACGCGUUGUCUGUGUGGUUUACAAGUUUCUUGGCGAUAUGGGGGGAAAGUUCCUCACAUACCAACGGAAAAUGGGCGUCAUAUACAUGCUGCUGUCUCAUAAUAUGGCGAAGACGAGUCACCUGAAGGCCUAACUCGCCAUAGAAGACUGAAAGAAUUGUCCUGCAGGAUGCUGUGUCCUGCAAUCCUGUGUACUGUGCUACAGACGCAUGUGGAGGUCAACCCAAAAUGGGCACAGUCUCACCGCAGAAGAGUGAAAGAGGAUCCUGGCAGGGAGACGGUAGUGUCCUGCAGAAUGGUGAUGGGCCAAUCUUACAAGAGACCACAGAAAACUGAUAUAGUGAACUAUAGAAACAACAGUGCCUGCUGCAGUAUAAUGAGGACACCCUGAGCAGAGAGCUCCAAUAGACCCAGGUCCAGUGUCUUGGCAGGGUGAAAUGGCACUGAUAUGGGUAUGUACUAAUGUCAGUUAAAAUGAAUGAAUGAAUUAAUUCUCAUAUCUGAAUAAUGUGAACACUGGAUUUACCACACACACACACACACACACACACACACACACACACACACACACACACACACACCCUAGGCCUAGAUGAUUUGGACCCAAGGUUACUUUUACCACAGCUCUGGCACAUCAAUUUUCAUUUGUUUAAUAACUGGUCAGGUAAUUUAUUCAUUCCCCUUGUUUGUUUUUUUGU
Engraulis encrasicolus (European anchovy) is the source of this 1475-nucleotide long non-coding RNA. RefSeq lists it as uncharacterized. NCBI's taxonomy places the organism in Eukaryota, Metazoa, Chordata, Actinopteri, Clupeiformes, Engraulidae. The transcript is spliced from 5 exons. The record is from RefSeq and is a predicted model, not a curated record.